GACGAACGCUGGCGGCGUGCUUAACACAUGCAAGUCGAGCGAUGAAGCACCUUCGGGUGUGAAUUAGCGGCGAACGGGUGAGGAACACGUGAGAAAUCUGCCUUCAACACUGGGAUAACUCCGGGAAACCGGGGCUAAUACCGGAUAUGAAACCUGCGGGCAUCCGCGGGUUUGGAAAGUUUUCGGUUGAAGAUGAUCUCGCGGCCUAUCAGCUUGUUGGUGAGGUAAUGGCUCACCAAGGCGACGACGGGUAGCCGGCCUGAGAGGGCGACCGGCCACACUGGGACUGAGACACGGCCCAGACUCCUACGGGAGGCAGCAGUGGGGAAUAUUGGGCAAUGGAGGAAACUCUGACCCAGCGACGCCGCGUGCGGGAUGAAGGCC
Molecule: ribosomal RNA, 384 nt
Filed under: uncultured bacterium
Lineage: Bacteria
Description: bacterial SSU rRNA
Rfam family: Bacterial small subunit ribosomal RNA
Source: RNAcentral